Molecule: ribosomal RNA, 253 nt
Filed under: uncultured bacterium
Lineage: Bacteria
Description: partial 16S ribosomal RNA
Rfam family: Bacterial small subunit ribosomal RNA
Source: RNAcentral
UACAGAGAGUGCGAGCGUUAAUCGGAAUUACUGGGCGUAAAGCGCACGUAGGUGGAUGCUUAAGUCAGGUGUGAAAUCCCCGAGCUUAACUUGGGAAUUGCAUUUGAUACUGGGCGUCUUGAAUAUAGUAGAGGGAAGUGGAAUUUCCGGUGUAGCGGUGAAAUGCGUAGAUAUCGGAAAGAACAUCAGUGGCGAAAGCGGCUUCCUGGACUAAUAUUGACACUUAGGUGCGAAAGCGUGGGGAGCAAACAGG